CCUACGGGUGGCAGCAGUGAGGAAUAUUGGUCAAUGGGCGAGAGCCUGAACCAGCCAAGUCGCGUGAAGGAUGACGGCCCUACGGGUUGUAAACUUCUUUUGUCAGGGAGCAAUUGAGUUCACGUGUGGGCUUAGCGAGAGUACGUGAAGAAAAAGCAUCGGAGAACUCCGUGCCAGCAGCCGUGGUAAUACGGAGGAUGCGAGCAUUAUCCGGUUUUAUGGGGUUAAAGGGGUGCUUAAGCGGAAUAUCAGGUCAGCGGGAAAAAUUCGGGGCUCACCCCCGUCGUGCCGUGGAAACUGAUGUUCUUGAGGGGGCGAGAAGUAGGCGGAAUGCGUGGUGUAGCGGUGAAAUGCAUAGAUAUCACGCAGAACUCCGAUUGCGAAGGCAGCAUACCGGCGCCCAACUGACGCUGAAGCACGAAAGCGUGGGUAUCGAACAGGAUUAGAUACCCUAGUAGUC
This 460-nucleotide ribosomal RNA is filed under the name uncultured bacterium. Its description in RNAcentral is "partial 16S ribosomal RNA". It matches the Rfam family "Bacterial small subunit ribosomal RNA", at positions 338 to 795 of the family's 1533-position model. The record is from RNAcentral.